This is a non-coding RNA of Acanthosepion pharaonis, 111 nucleotides long. The record is from the annotation of a GenBank genome assembly. NCBI's taxonomy places the organism in Eukaryota, Metazoa, Mollusca, Cephalopoda, Sepiida, Sepiidae.
UAUGGCCACAUCACAUUCAAACAUUGGUUCCCAUACAAUCACUGAAGUUAAGCAAUGUCGUGCAUGGUCCAUACCUAGAUGGGGGACCACUUGGGAAUAGCAAGUGCAGUA